GACGAACGCUGGCGGCGUGCCUAACACAUGCAAGUCGAACGGGGAGUUAGCAAUAACUCCUAGUGGCGAACGGGUGAGUAACGCGUAGACAACCUGCCUCUAAACUGGGGACAACACCGCGAAAGUGGUGCUAAUACCGAAUGUGGUAACUUGAUCGCAUGAUCGAGUUAAGAAAGAUGGCCUCUAUUUAUAAGCUAUCGAUUAGAGAUGGGUCUGCGUCUGAUUAGCUAGUUGGUGAGGUAAUGGCUCACCAAGGCGACGAUCAGUAGCCGGUCUGAGAGGUGGAACGGCCACACUGGGACUGAGACACGGCCCAGACUCCUACGGGAGGCAGCAGUGGGGAAUCUUCCGCAAUGGACGAAAGUCUGACGGAGCAACGCCGCGUGAGUGAAGAAGGUCUUCGGAUUGUAAAGCUCUGUCGUUUGGGACGAACGUGGGUAGUGUGAAUAAUGCUAUCUAAUGACGGUACCAAAGGAGGAAGCCACGGCUAACUACGUGCCAGCCGCCGCCGUAA
This 514-nucleotide ribosomal RNA is filed under the name uncultured bacterium. RNAcentral's name for it is "partial 16S ribosomal RNA". It matches the Rfam family "Bacterial small subunit ribosomal RNA", at positions 28 to 523 of the family's 1533-position model. The record is from RNAcentral.